UUCCCAGAGCUCAUCCUGUCACUGGCUGCUCUGCUGAAAUUAUCAAUAAGAAAUGCCAGUUGGAUCUGUGACAUGUCUGCCUGCAGCUGGAUGGGAGCAACGGACAGCUUGUCCUCCGAAUGUGUUUUCUGUAUGUGUGCAAGCGCGUGUGUUCCAAACGGGCAGUAGCGUGUGGGAAGGAAAAAGCCUGACACUUGUUUUUAUCAAUUUGCUGAUGCUCAGUCCCGGCGGCUGCCUCCUUUGCCCCCAGCUGCUCUGCCAUUUCUCUCUUUUCAAUCCUGCAUGAUCCUGAGCAGAGAUAAAAGCAGAUUUCCGCUUCUGCUCCCAGAUCCAGGAGCAGACCCUGCAGGCAGCUGCUCCUGAUGUCUCACAGCUAUUAGUCUUCAAAAACCCCCCGUGCCUCUGUGCACACGCGUCUCUCCUCCCCAGCCAGCCCCCCUCCCAGCCCAGCGGCGAUGUCUCUGCCUGGCUGGCCCGUGCCCUUGACUUCCAGGCAGUAGAAGAUGGAGUUCUCUAGACAGCAGCACUUCAGCCGCCACUCUGCCUCUGAAGGGAAGGAAGGGAAAGGGGUGCUGGCUACUGUGAAAUAACAAGAGUCCAAGAGCAAGGUGUCCAGAGUCAGAGCUCCUGGGUUUGAACCUUGUUCCACCAGCACAUCCUACCUCUGUGGCCUGGUCCUUCAGCUCCUACUUAAUGGAAGCCUCGCAGAUGCAAGAUGGCUCCAGCAGGCCCAGCAUCACUUCUUCUCAGUGUCCCAAAGCCAGAAGAGAGGCUGUUGUUUUUAAAAGCAGGAAAACUUUCCUAAACUUGGCCAGAAUUGCAUCACAGACCCUUUCCUAAAACAAUUUCCAGCAAAGGGAAUAGACUUACCAUGUCUGGUACAGAUGAAUCAAGGUUUGCCCCUGGGGGCUGGGGAGGGGCUUGUCCCGCUGAAGCAGACUCUUGCCCAGCAGCUGAACGAAGCCUAGGUUCACCAGACGGAGGAAGAGACUGGCCACUAACAGUGCCUGACACACAGAUGUGCUUCCUGUGAUAUCGCUGCUGCCACCGUUCCAAAUGUAAGCAGUUGGCUGUCUGGGAUACUACCUACCUUCUUUUGUGUUCUUAUUAAUAAAAUUAAAGAUUGCUUUCUGGGUAGAGAAAUU
Molecule: long non-coding RNA, 1145 nt
Filed under: Homo sapiens (human)
Lineage: Eukaryota; Metazoa; Chordata; Mammalia; Primates; Hominidae
Description: non-protein coding lnc-PRCD-5:2
Source: RNAcentral